RNAcentral lists this ribosomal RNA (494 nucleotides) under uncultured bacterium. Its description in RNAcentral is "bacterial SSU rRNA". It matches the Rfam family "Bacterial small subunit ribosomal RNA", at positions 30 to 518 of the family's 1533-position model. The record is from RNAcentral.
UGAACGCUAGCGACAGGCUAACACAUGCAAGUCGAGGGGCAUCACGGGAGUAGCAAUACAACUGGUGGCGACCGGCGCACGGGUGAGUAACGCGUAUGCAACCUACCUAUCAGAGGGGAAUAACCCGGCGAAAGUCGGACUAAUACCGCAUAAAACAGGGGCACCGCAUGGUGAUAUUGUUAAAGAAAUUCGCUGAUAGAUGGGCAUGCGUUCCAUUAGGUAGUUGGUGAGGUAACGGCUCACCAAGCCGACGAUGGAUAGGGAACUGAGAGGUUGGUCCCCCACACUGGUACUGAGACACGGACCAGACUCCUACGGGAGGCAGCAGUGAGGAAUAUUGGUCAAUGGGCGGGAGCCUGAACCAGCCAAGUCGCGUGAAGGAAGAAGGAUCUAUGGUUCGUAAACUUCUUUUGCAGGGGAAUAAAGUGCAGGACGUGUCCUGUUUUGUAUGUACCCUGAGAAUAAGGAUCGGCUAACUCCGUGCCAGCCGCCGC